CAUGGCCUUAGAAUGUAAAAAUGAAUGGCCACUUCCAGGUAUGGCUGAGAAGGGUGAAAAUGCAUGCACCCACAGACACACACACACACCGUGGAAAUGAGGAAAAGUUACUUCUCUCUGUUGUAAAUUUAAAUGCAGUCCAGAGUAGUGAAGGCCGUUUGUAAGGUCUGCUGAGCUAAUGGAUUCAUAAUGACUUUUAAAGCUUCACUCGCUGGAGAUAACAACAGUGUCCAAGAAACAACAGUGUCCAAGAAACAGGACUUUCCCUCAAAGAGCUUACUGGGGAAGCCAGCAAGACCAGCAGACAAACACAGGCAAACAGAGCACUGACACCACCUGGCAAGAAACAGUGAGCAGCAGUAGUAUCUCUUCACAUGAAGAUUUCUUUAACUGGAAUCCCAAAUCCAGAUCAAAUGGACUAAAUUCCACAGUGCAGUGGGGAUCUUCACAUUGAGGGAGAUUUAACUCCACCUUUCGUUCAUCGGUUCAAUGAUUUGAUAGCAUGAUUAUGGUGCUGAGCAUUUAUCUUUGUCUAAUCGAUAGAUUUCUUGGGAUCUAAAGAUGCAUCUUAUGGUGAUAUAGACAAAAGAGGCAUUUAUGGAGUCAGCCAUGGGAGAGCAUAUCAGAUUGUGCAAGAGCAAUAAUAUAUGGAAGUGAGCAGCAUGAGUGCUGCACUGGGGGAGAGCCUGCUGAAGCUGCUUGAAUCUCAACACUGUCAUACCCGCCAUCUCAUUAUCUACAGCCACAUCUAAAACCCACAUGAAAUACCAAGUCACACGCGGCUCUGGGAAAGACAUUUUACAGAGACCAUCUUAUGAGUUUUUAAUCUGCCUCCUGAGAACUUACAAUCUAAGAAAUAGAAAACUGAUUCCAGUAAGCAUGCCCAGAAUAUGCUAGCAGCAAGAUUAAAACAUGAAACUAUGAAUGUUAAGAAGAACAAUUUUUAAAAAAUCAUUGGACAUCAAACCAAAACAAAUCAUGGUGCCUCCACACAAUGGGAUAUUCCUCAGCAGUAGAAAGGAAUGGACUACUGAUCACGCAGUAAUGAUGACGAAUGUCAAUGUAAUUAUGCCAAGUGAAAGAAGCCAGGCAGAAGUAAAUCUGACAGACUUUAUGAAGCUAUUAUACCUGCAGUGUGGAAGAGUUUUGUGCAAAUAUGAAGCCUUUGAAGAUUCAGGGACACACAACUCAAACUCA
Molecule: long non-coding RNA, 1197 nt
Filed under: Homo sapiens (human)
Lineage: Eukaryota; Metazoa; Chordata; Mammalia; Primates; Hominidae
Description: HSALNT0183008
Source: RNAcentral